GGUAGUUUGACUGGGGCGGUCUCCUCCCAAAGCGUAACGGAGGAGCACGAAGGUUAGCUAAUCCUGGUCGGACAUCAGGAGGUUAGUGCAAUGGCAUAAGCUAGCUUGACUGCGAGCGUGACGGCGCGAGCAGGUGCGAAAGCAGGUCAUAGUGAUCCGGUGGUUCUGAAUGGAAGGGCCAUCGCUCAACGGAUAAAAGGUACUCCGGGGAUAACAGGCUGAUACCGCCCAAGAGUUCAUAUCGACGGCGGUGUUUGGCACCUCGAUGUCGGCUCAUCACAUCCUGGGGCUGAAGUAGGUCCCAAGGGUAUGGCUGUUCGCCAUUUAAAGUGGUACGCGAGCUGGGUUUAGAACGUCGUGAGACAGUUCGGUCCCUAUCUGCCGUGGGCGCUGGAGAAUUGAGGGGGGCUGCUCCUAGUACGAGAGGACCGGAGUGGACGCAUCACUGGUGUUCGGGUUGUCAUGCCAAUGGCACUGCCCGGUAGCUAAAUGCGGAAGAGAUAAGUGCUGAAAGCAUCUAAGCACGAAACUUGCCCCGAGAUGAGUUCUCCCUGAGACUU
Molecule: ribosomal RNA, 560 nt
Filed under: Klebsiella pneumoniae
Lineage: Bacteria; Pseudomonadati; Pseudomonadota; Gammaproteobacteria; Enterobacterales; Enterobacteriaceae
Also listed under: 2 other names
Description: partial 23S ribosomal RNA
Rfam family: Bacterial large subunit ribosomal RNA
Source: RNAcentral